RNAcentral lists this ribosomal RNA (1482 nucleotides) under uncultured Bordetella sp. RNAcentral's name for it is "partial 16S-23S ribosomal RNA intergenic spacer". It matches the Rfam family "Bacterial small subunit ribosomal RNA". Lineage: Bacteria; Pseudomonadati; Pseudomonadota; Betaproteobacteria; Burkholderiales; Alcaligenaceae. The record is from RNAcentral.
GGUUCGAUCCUGGCUCAGAUUGAACGCUGGCGGGAUGCUUUACACAUGCAAGUCGAACGGCAGCACGGACUUCGGUCUGGUGGCGAGAGUGGCGAACGGGUGAGUGCUUCCAUCGGAACGUGCCUAGUAGCGGGGGAUAACUACGCGAAAGCGUUAGCCAUUACCGCAUAUUGCCUCGGGGAAAGCGGGGACCUUUCGCCCCGCACUAUUAGAGCGGCCGAUAUCGGAUUAGUGCUAAGUUGGUGGGGUAACGGCUCACCAAGGCGACGAUCCGUAGCUGGUUUGAGGACGACCAGCCACACUGGGACUGAGACACGGCCCAGACUCUACGGAGGCAGGGGGAAUUUUGACAAUGGGGAAAUUCCGAUCCAGCCAUCCGCGUGUGCGAUGAAGGCCUUCGGGUUGUAAAAGCACUUUUUGGCAGGAGAAGAAACGUGCACGCAUACCACCGUGCAACUGACGGUACCUGCAGUGAACACACCGGCUAACUACGUGCCAGCAGCCGCGGUAAUACGUAGGGUGCAAGCGUUAAUCGGAAUUACUGGGCGUAAAGCGUGCGCAGGCGGUUCGGAAAGAAAGAUGUGAAUCCUUGUGAGCUUAACUUUGGAAAUCGCAUUUUUAACUACCGGAGCUAUGUGUCAGAGGGAGGUGGAAUUCCGCGUGUAGCGGGAAAUGCGUAGAUAUGCGGAGGAACACCGAUGGCGAAGGCAGCCUCCUGGGAUAACAUUGACGCUCAUGCACGAAAGGUGGGGAGCAAACAGGAUUAGAUACCUGGUAGUCCACGCCCUAAACGAUGUCAACUAGCUGUUGGGGCCUUCGGGCCUUGUAGCGCAGGUCAACGCGUGAAGUUGGACCGGCCUGGGCGAGUACGGUCGCAAGAUUGGGUAAAAACUCAAAGGAAUUCGACGGGGACUCGCAUGUUGCGGAUGAUGUGGAUUAAUUCGAUGCAACGCGAAAAACCUUACCUACCCUCUUUGACAUGUCUGGAAUCCCGAAGAGAUUUGGGAGUGCUCGCAAGAGAACCGGAACACAGGUGCUGCAUGGCUGUCGUCAGCUCGUGUCGUGAGAUGUUGGGCAGUCCGCAACGAGCGCAAUUCUUGUCAUUAGUUGCUACGAAAGGGCAAUUUAAUGAGACCGCCGGUGACAAACCGAGGAAGGUGGGGAUGACGUCAAGUCCUCAUGGCCUCUGCAGGUAGGGCUUCACACGUCAUACAAUGGUCGGGACAGAGGUCGCCAACCCGCGAGGGGGAGCUAAUCCCAGAAACCUGAUCGUAGUCCGGACUGCAGUCUGCAACUCGACUGCGUGAAGUCGAAUCGCUAGUGAAUCGUGGAUCAGCAUGUCGCGGUGAAUACGUUCCCGGGUCUUGUACACACCGCCCGUCACACCAUGGGAGUGGGUUUUACCAGAAGCAGUUAGCCUAACCGUAAGGAGGGCGAUUACCACGGCAGGAUUCAUGACUGGGGUGAAGUCGUAACAAGCGU